This 456-nucleotide long non-coding RNA is filed under the name Callithrix jacchus (white-tufted-ear marmoset). Its description in RNAcentral is "lncRNA (ENSCJAG00000083122.1)". Lineage: Eukaryota; Metazoa; Chordata; Mammalia; Primates; Cebidae. The record is from RNAcentral.
AUGAGAGCGCGUGUGUGUGCGCGCGCGCGGGCUGGCGGGCGCGUGUGCGCGUGUCUGCGCGCUCAGCCGCUCGGCGCGCUCGGCAAUCGAUUACAGGACAAGUGCUGCCCCGGCUGCUUCGCGACGGGCGCAAUCUCUCGCGCCCAUCCGUGCGCCCGGCCGCGUCGCCCCCGGUCCGUAGGUCCCCGGACGGCGGACCCACCUCUGACGGGGGCCCAGUCAUUCCACAACCACAAGGUUAACCAAGCUUGGAAUAAACUUGCCACAAUAGAAAGAAACUUAGAGAAACAAAACUGCUCCUUGGUGAAUACCGUAGAGCUGCUGGAUCAAGCAUUGCCUGCAACUUCCAUUGCUAGUGGCCCUUUUAGUUUAGCACAGAUACAAUUUCCUGUGUGGCACUCAGUAUCUACAAGACCUAAGAUGUGCCUAAAGAGGUAUGGUACUAUUUUGAGGUAA